Long non-coding RNA from Apus apus (common swift), 5595 nucleotides. RefSeq lists it as uncharacterized. NCBI's taxonomy places the organism in Eukaryota, Metazoa, Chordata, Aves, Apodiformes, Apodidae. The transcript has 9 exons. The record is from RefSeq and is a predicted model, not a curated record.
GCGGAGCCGAGCCGAGCCGCGCCGGGUUCUGCCGCUGGCGGUUCCUGGAUAUAGGGAGAAGUGUCCUAGGAUUAAGGUGAUGAGGGAGCUGCUGACUGUGGGACUCUUGGAGUUGAUGAACUGUGGAGCUUUCUUUAAAGGAGGAUAUCCUGAGACCUGUGGCCCCUGAAAGCUAAGUUGAGGAGUUGAGGGAUGGGUGCUGGGGGGGGACAAAGUUGGGAAUUGCAGGGAGGGGUUUUAAAGUCAAGAGCUGGGGAGAGGGCUGUCUGGGAACUGUCCCUUUGGGCAGGUAAAGGCAGUGGGUUACUCUUCAGCGUGAUGUCAGCGUGUGCCAGGCAGGGCAGCUCCAGCCUGCUCGUGUCAUGGUGUUGUUUGUGUGGUCUGUUGUCUUUUGUGUCUCAAACCCUCCUUGGGUCCCAGUCUCCUCUUUGUGCUCCAGGAGCACAAAGCACUCAUCUUGCAGCCCAUCCUUAGGUCUUGAGCAUCAUCUGUGCUCACCCUCGUAGUGCCCGUGGGGCGCUGCUUUUCUUGCCUGAACUGAAAAGCCCAGCUGGGCCUCGUGACUCGGGUGUCUCCUCUUGAUCCUCUUUUUGCGCCGGUGUUGCGGUCGGUGUCGUCAGCCCCGCUCUGGAGGCUUCUCUUUCACAGGAAGAAUCUCUUUUCUGGGCAUUCUUCCCUGUGUCCUUGCAUUCUUGGGUCUUGCCAAGGCUUCUCGUGCAUCUGUCUGUUUCGGUUCUGACUGUAGGUUCUUGUCACGGUUUGCAAUGUUUGACCUUUCUCUGGGGCUGCCUUAUGGCUUCCUUACUGCUGAAAUCACAAGUGAAUUGAGUAUAGAAAUAUUGGGGCUAAUGUGUUAAUUAAAGGGAUAUCAGUUCAAAUUGCAUGCCUGUUAAAGACUUGUGCAAACUGACCACUGCUUGACCUAAGCGACUUGACUUUGGACUGGACUUGUGACUUGACUUAGCCUGAGUAUCUGGAGUGAUGAGGCCUUAGGCUGCGAUUCUAAUUAUCUUUAGCUGAACUCCUGUGAUGAGCCUUAGUUAGACCUUGACUCUGCCAGCUGUAAUAAUAUGGAAACAAGAUGUGGGCAAGAUAAUUACUCAAGACGAUCUUCUGAACUGGGAAGAUGCAUUGACUGAAAGUUAGGUGGGAGCAAUUGGACAAAAGCAGAAUGUGGAAGACUUUUCCAGCUGAGAAACAAGUGGAAGAGAACAAGACUGGAAGCACCCAGCUCAAGCUGCAGUAAACUGAGUCUGUGUCAGAACUGAGGGUCUGAGCUUCUCUCUCAGGUUGGAGGUGAAGACUGGAUCCAGCUGCACCUAGGCUCUGCCCUGAGAAGAAGGUGAGAAACCAAGGAGGUCCUGUCUGAAGCUCACAACUCGAAAGGAGGGACUUUCUGGACUCUUCAACACUCAUCUCAUGCUUGUGGUCCUGUAUGUCUUGCCACCUGGUGGCAUCUGCAUUGGAGGAGGAGGUUUUUUUUUUGUUGUUGCUGGGAGUUUCCUCUCAUGCUUGUGUCACAUCCUUUGUGUUUGUGUGUUGUGUCUCUGUGCUGUUGGGUUGGAGCUGCUCUCUCUGGAGGCUGUAUCAACUGUGGGGUUGGGAGAAGAACAGCAAGGAGAGCCUGUGGUUUGUGUUGCUGUGCUGUCUGUGCCUGUUGGGGUGCAGAUGGAGCAUUUGAAGUGAAGUAGCAGCCCUCAGCAGGGGAGGGUGGUCAUUUUCAUAGUGAUUUUGAGAAGGGGUGGCUGGAGCCACCUGGGAGAGGCUGCUGGAGCCAUAGCCAAGCAGGUUGGGUGUCUAAGUUGUUAAGGCCUGAAUGUGUGGGGCAUAAUGUUAACUUGUUUUUUAGCUCCCUUGUAGGUAGUUAGGAUCUCAAAGAUAUUUCUAAAUGGGAGUCUCUGGAAUUGCAUCCAGCUGAUUGCUUGUUACUGCUUUUUCAGAUGCAGGGAGAGGAGCCACGCAGCAGAGGGUGGUGGAGCAGAGGAGCAGAGCACAGUGAGGAGCUGGGUCGGUGCGUAUUGAAGAGCCUGGGUGAGUUGUCCCCUGGGUUGUGAGGGAAGGUGUGAGUGGUGCCUCUAUCGACUGGCUCAUGGUUCGGGUUUGUUUUGUAGGUGCAAAGCACCGAGGGAAGUGGGAGAUCUGCACUGGAGGUGACUCGAGCAAGGCGGCACACAGGGCUGGACGUGGCAACCUGUGACCAUCAGAGGCCGGACAGGUGAGCCACGAAGUUUUGCAGCCUUGGAGCAGUGGAGCAGCAUGCCAACGGGCCAUCUGUGGAGAUGACACAGGCAUCAGCCAGAUGCCACAAGCAAGGAUGGCCUCAGCAUCCGAUUCUGGAACCGGCAGAUCACUAUGAGGAGCCUGGCGAUGGCAGGAACAUCCCAGGGAGGACAGCUUAUCGAGGAGGAAGAGUGCAGAGCCCUGGCCAUCUGAAAGCUAAGUGGAGGGGCUGGGAGGAGGGGACAAGGUUGGGGGUUGGAGGCGGAGGGUUUCAAAGUUGGUGUAGGGGAGAGGACUGGCAGGGCACAGUCCCCUUGGGGCAGGCAAAGGGAGCAGGUUACUCUUCAGCACAAUGUCAGCAUGGGCAGGGCAGCUCCAACCUGUGUCUGGCGUGUACUUUGUGUUGCCUGUUUUCUGUUUCUUAGACUGUAUGUUCUUUGGCUUUUGGUGCCUCCAUAGCUCGGUGACCAGCAGGCACCUCGGUAGCCCUCCCGAGAGUCCAGAAUGCAUCACUUCACUGGCACAGAGCCUGUUGAGCCCUUCUCAUCUCACAAUUACAGCUUGACGCGUGGAUCUCUUUGGCGUGUGCCACAUCCUGGCUGUUCCUGAGCGUUCAUCUCUUGCGGUGGCCAGCCAGGUGCUGCCCGCAGCUCUGCUCUUGAGUCUGCUGUUUCCAUAGAGUCAUCUUCUGGGGUUUCAUCCUCAUGUCCUCACUGGUCUUGGGUCUUCAAGCAUGGCUUCUCACACAUCCCUUAUUCUGGCUUUGAUGGCAGCUUUCUCUUGUGUGUGGCUGCAAUUGCCUCUCCUUGGCAGGUCUGCUUUAGAGCAUCCGUGCCAUUGUGGCACCGUAGGGCUUCUCUGCCGGCAUCAUCUUCCCUAUGGCAAUCUUUCACUGAGCAAGGACGAGAGACUUAUAGAAAGUUACAAAGGUCUUCUGAAAAAAAAGAUCCUGAUCUUGUUGAAACAAGAAGAUGGGGAAGCACGUGCUUUGCUUAAAAUGUGGCAGAAUUGCCGAAGUUGCUGUAGCUGAGCGACGUCUGCUCGUGACAAAAUCAACAAUAUGGAAACCAGACCUUCAGCAUUUAGGCUGCCCACCUCCAACUGAAGACCUACCCACUGUGUGUCCUGUACCUCAAAAUCAGAGUGAGAAAUUCACUAACCAAUCAGAGUAGAGUAACUGUGUAUCUGUAUUAGGUGAAGGAAACUAACCACAAGUGCAUAAAUGUACAUAGCCUUGCUACUUCAGGGGGCAGCUUUGUGUCUAACCCCCUCUCGCCCUGUGUUUGCCUAAACAAAUGAAAUAAAUGAAAAUACCUUGGCUCUGUAUGUAUUUGGCAUCUUGCACACCAGGUGAAUGACCCCACUUUUGGUAUAACGAGGUAUAACACUUGCGGCAUCCGUGUGUAGUCCUGGUCUGUGUGUGAGGGUUGGAGCUGCCCUGCCCAGGGAUGCAGCAGUACUGAUGACAGGGUAGCGUAGCUUUAUGGGGGUGUGGAAGUAAGUUGGUUUGGACCAAUUCUGUUGGCAGAGACCAUACGGUCCAUCUCUGGGCCAACAGGUGUAGGCAGUUGCCACAGUUGUGUUCGCUUUUCUUUAUGGUCAGGGGCUAGGAUUGGAUCCAGCCGCACCUAGACUCCUCUGAGAAGGAGUUUAGAAAGCAAGGGGGUCCAGUCUGAACCUCGUGACUGGUUGGGAGCAGCAGUUAGUGUGGAAGGGGAGGGGGUCAGAUCUGGAAGGUGCCUUAGCUUGCACAGAUGGGGCUCCCUAGCUGGCUUUUCUUCUUCUAGCUGUAGUGAGAAGGUAUAUGCAAAAGGCAGAGAGACCUCUGGCCUCACCAAGCUACCUGUGGCUGUGCAGGUGACUUGCUUUACAGGGUGUGUUUGUGUUGUUUCAGGUGCAGAGCAACAAGGAGCACAGCCAAGGGCACGGAAGAGGGGAGCAGAGUGCCGGCUGAAGAAGGACAGGCAUCCAGUGCCGGAGUAUCGGCAGGACAGCGGGUGGCUCUGACAAGCUGGAGCUUAUCUGGCUGGAUUUUCUGGGUGCAAAUCCAAGUGUGAAGCGAGAUGUUAUCAGCAGAGCGGCCUCUGGCAAGGUGGUACACAAGCCCUCCUAGUCCCCUGGGGUCCCUGCCUGGAUGGUUCAGGAUGGCCUGGUGCUGCAAAUUGCAUUUCCAGAGACAAACAGCAGCUUGGCAGCUUGUGGUCAGGACUCCAGAGAGAUUUGAGAAGGCCCCAGAGCACCUUCUGCAUCCUCUCACAGUCAGCAUGUGAGUGAAGUGAUGCAGGAUUCCCACCUCCGUGCCGGUCCCGCAUGUCAUCCUCUUCCCCUGUGGUUCCAGACUGUCAGCAUAGGAGAGACUUGCUUCCCCUCCAGGUCCAAGUGUUUCCCAGUGCAUGAGAGACCUGCCACAGAACCUGAGCUUUCCUAUUGCAUUGAUUGAAGAGCUGCAUAACACUUAGAGCCUGGUGUAGGCUUCCUGCUAAGAAGCCGUUUCUUCACAAAAUGCUUUUCUUUGUCUAAGAUGGAGACAUACAAGUAGUGGUGACCAGAUCUGUGCUUGAAAAUGGACUUGAUGGAGAGUACCAAACUUCUCUUUCAUUGCAGUCUGUAAUGAUUUUUUUGGCCUCAAAUGUUUUUUGUGCUGCUUCUCAAACACACUUUCCCAGCCUUUUUUUAAAUGUAAGCAGACAUUGAAAGAAAAACCAGCACUCAGAAUAUUGAUGGAGAAAGAAUUGUGCACAAUUUCAGAGCUUCACAGACUUGUUUAUAAGACUUACUUAUUUGAAAAAGUGACACACUUGUUGCUAAUCAAUUAAUAACACAUUAUUUUUCACUUCAUAAUGGAGUCACAAGCUGCUGUUGUCAGACCCUGAUCUCUGGGAGGCUCUUUCCAGAAAAUCAUGCAUAGGAAUAGGAUCAUCCUCUAGGAAAGCUGGAAACACUGUGGUUCAUAAGUUGGAUUUUUUUGUGGAGUAAAACCUGGCCAUGUUGGGCAAGCCUCUUGGAAAUACCCCUGCUUUCCUAGGAACUUGCUGGAGAAAUCCCAAGGCAGACUGACCAUGACACCUGAAGCAGAUACCAGCCACCGGUGUGUUCAGGUGCAUGAUCUGAGGUGUUAAUUUGAACUUGGACUGGAAGAUGCAGUUAAAAUAUUCAUCUUUAUGCAGGAAGCAACCAGGGAAGACAUUCUUAAGUUUAAAAGGUAACAAGGUCCACAGAUGAGGCUCUGCAGGAAUGGUUCAAGAUGCAGCUUCUCCCAGCUCAGAUGCAUUACACAGACUUGCAGACUGCUGCUGAGGUAAAUCCUUUUCUUAUUUUCUCCCCCUCAACAGCAGAAUUCAAAGCUCUUCUAACUGCAGGGGACCUUGGGUGGUU